UAUUACAUCCCUCCUCCAGACCCUCACAUUUCAAAUUCACGUCUCACUUUCUCUCUCUACGCCAUCUCUCUACUUCUCUUCUACUAGCACUCGCACCAGCACCAAGCUUUUCCAACUUAAACCCUACCUUCAAAGAUGAUACUGAAGAUAUGGCGAAUAGCUCCAAUACCGCUUCUAAGGUUUGUAACAACUACAGAUCGGUUACCAUAAUAAAGAUCAACAACAAAUUGCAAGUUAAUAAUUGCACAAUCGCAGGUUCGAUGAUUAAUUUUCAGUUGCUCAGAUCAACAAUCAAGUUUUUAUUUUGGAAGUAUGUGCAAUUAGCUGGUUCAUGAGGUUAUUUGAAACAGAGUUUUCAUAAUUGUGUUGAAUCGUUAGCUAGUAGAUUGUUUUCAUCGAUGUCGGAUGAAUGUUAUUGUAGAAAUCUGUUGUGCGAAUUCGGUCUAUGACUUGAAGUUUGUUAGUAUUAGUGUAAAGUUAUUGGAUCUCAAAAAGGCGUGUUAAGUUUGUGUAAUGUUUAUUGUUUUGCAUUUGUAUCUGGAAGUAUGUGCGAUUGGCUAAUUCAUGAGUUUAUUUGAAACAAGGUGUUUAAUAAUUGUGUUGAAUCGUGAUCUGGUAGAUCGUUUUCAUAGAUUUUGGAUGAGUGUGAUUGUAGAAAUAUGUUGUGGAGUGGAAAAUUGUUAGUGAUUUGCGUGUUUAUGAGGCGUAUGGAGAUUUGUUAUUGUUGAUAUAAAGCUAUUGGAUCUCGAAGAGCCGUGUUAAGUUUGUGUAAUGUUUAUCGUUUUGCAUUUGUGUUUGAAAGUAUGUUCAGUUAGCAAAUUCAUGAGUUUAUUUGAAACAAAAUGUUUGAUAGUUGUGUUGAACUGUGAUUUAUGUGUUUAUGAGGUAUUGGUUUGCGGUGGUGAUGAAUUCGUUCGGGUGAGGGAAAUUGAUGGAUUCUACUAGGAGUUAGCUAUACAAGUUCCAACUGAGAUAUCGCUUGAGGUCGAAUACCUGGAGGGAUUCAAUGGAUGGAACUGAAGAUGACUCGACUUCGGAAGAAGAGGCGUCGAAUAUGAGCAAGCAAAAGGUUGUUGCUGCUAGAAAGUAUAUCGAGAACCAUUACAAGGAGCAGAUGAAGAAUUUGCAAGAGAGGAGAGAAAUGUAGUAUUUUCGAAAUUACAUAAUGUUAGAUAUUACGUGUUUAUUGGUAGUUGGUUUACACCGCUGAUAUAGUAAGAAAGAAAUCUUAGAUUAACAUUACAAAAUAUGGUGAAUACGAAUUUUACUCGAGAAGAAAUUGGCGCAUGCUGACGUGUCAGAGGUAGAUCAAAACAACUUAAUUAAAUUUCUAGAGAAAAAAGAAACUGAAUAUAUGCGCCUUCAAAGGCACAAAAUAGGAGUUGAUGAUUUUGAGCUACUCACCAUGAUAGGAAAGGGUGUUUUGAUGAGGUAGAAAAAUGGGUCGAUCCGAAGAAUGGGCAGGCAACAGGGAAGAUAAAACAUGUUGAUUCUGUACUAAGGGUAGUACAUUCAUUAUGUGAUUGAUCGGUAAAUGCAGUUGCUGCUGUGGUCGUUUUCGUGUUGAUGAUAUUGAUGAGUAUAAACAAGAAAAGGGAAGUGAUCUACUGUCAGGAGUUGAAGCUAUAAUAAGCCAAUUUAGUGGUAAAAAAUUUCAAAAUCCCGUGAGCACAUGCUCCUGCGUUGUUACCUCCUCCACUUACCCAAUCUUUGUGUCCAAAAUCCGCUGCCUAAAAAAUCAACUAGCAUAUCGCAAAUCUUCUGAUCCUGUUUCAAAACUUGUGUGAUAAAUUUUUCUUCGUUAUCCUUGAACUCUGAUGGAGGAGAAUGGACAACUUCAUCAAGCAAUCCAAUGUUGCUCCAGGUUUGCUUAUAAUAAUUUUAACUGGCGACACCAACUUUUCUGUUGAGUUCUUCAUCUGCUCUCUGUUAUUCGAGUGACCAUCUUGAAAAUUGCGUUUUAACAGCGUUAGUGUCGGCCCAGUGGUAGAAACUUCUGUUUGUCAUUUAGACUAUUGUUGAUGUUUUUGGAAGGUUUAUAAUUUUCACUGACGAUACCAACUUUUCUGUUGAGUUCUUCA
RNA transcript from Helianthus annuus (common sunflower), 2081 nucleotides. It is a transcript of the gene named probable serine/threonine-protein kinase ndrA, with no coding region annotated. The record is from RefSeq and is a predicted model, not a curated record. The transcript is spliced from 5 exons. Lineage: Eukaryota; Viridiplantae; Streptophyta; Magnoliopsida; Asterales; Asteraceae.